RNAcentral lists this transfer RNA (75 nucleotides) under Verrucomicrobiales bacterium. Its description in RNAcentral is "tRNA-Thr". It matches the Rfam family "tRNA". From Rfam's summary of the family: Transfer RNA (tRNA) molecules are approximately 80 nucleotides in length. Their secondary structure includes four short double-helical elements and three loops (D, anti-codon, and T loops). Further hydrogen bonds mediate the characteristic L-shaped molecular structure. tRNAs have two regions of fundamental functional importance: the anti-codon, which is responsible for specific mRNA codon recognition, and the 3' end, to which the tRNAs corresponding amino acid is attached (by aminoacyl-tRNA synthetases). tRNAs cope with the degeneracy of the genetic code in two manners: having more than one tRNA (with a specific anti-codon) for a particular amino acid; and 'wobble' base-pairing, i.e. permitting non-standard base-pairing at the 3rd anti-codon position. The record is from RNAcentral. Lineage: Bacteria; Pseudomonadati; Verrucomicrobiota; Verrucomicrobiia; Verrucomicrobiales.
GCCGAAGUAGCUCAGCGGUAGAGCAACGGUUUCGUAAACCGUGGGUCGUGGGUUCAAUCCCCAUCUUCGGCUCCA